Long non-coding RNA from Gossypium arboreum, 2600 nucleotides. RefSeq lists it as uncharacterized. The record is from RefSeq and is a predicted model, not a curated record. The transcript is spliced from 2 exons. Lineage: Eukaryota; Viridiplantae; Streptophyta; Magnoliopsida; Malvales; Malvaceae.
AAUACAACCCCUUCUCUUCUAAAAAUCUCCAGAAUCUCUCCUAAAGACACCUUACUUGAAGCUUUCGGCCGAGUUCGUUCCAAGGAGGGGUAUCAGACAAGAAUGCCUGAUGUCUCCUUACAUCUUUGUGCUUUGUAUAGAGAAAUUGGGUCAUCUUAUUCAUACGGUUGAAGGCAAAGUGUGGAAAUCAAUUGUUUUGGAUAAGAAUGGUCCUCCUUUAUCAUUUUUUUUUUUUUACUGAUGACUUGUUUUUGUUUGUUGAAGAAAAUAUUAAUCAGGCUAAAGUCUUAAAGAAUGUUCUCAACACUUUUGGAGCUGCCUCAGGACAUAAAGUCAACAGACUUAAAACUACUGUGUUUUUCUCUAGCAAUAUGGAUUCCGACCAUGCUAAUGUUAUCUGUAGUAUUCUUGGUUAUUGUCAGAGUGAGGAUUUGGGGAUUUACUUGGGACUACCUCUCUUUCACCGACGAAUAACAGUGAAUACUUUCAAAUUCAUUGUUGAUAAAGUUAGAUGAAAGCUGGAUAAUUGGAAUGCCAAAACGCUUUAUGUGGCGAAACGUUUAACUUUAGCUCGGUCAGUUUUAUUGUCGAUUCCUAAUUACUUUAUGCAAACUGUGAAAAUUCCGUCUAGUAUUUGUGCAGAAAUUGAGAAAAUCGUCCAAAAAUUUAUUUGGGGGAGUUUUGAAGUCUCUCAGAAAUCGGCUUUGAUAAAGUGGGGAGAUUGUUGUUAACCUUUACCUAAUGGGGGAUUAGGUAUCCAAAGAGUUCAGGAACAAAAUGAAUCUUUUUUUGCUUAAGUUGGGUUUUAAUCUCCUAACAAAAAAGCAAGUUUUGUGGGUAGGGUUCUCCGUUCUAAGUACAAGCUCUUGGACGAAUAUCUUGAAGACAUUUCUUGGAGCAACUGUUCUUUUGUCUGGAGAUCCUUUGCUAAGGAAGCAAAAUGGAAGAUUGUUUGGUCUUUAAAUGUAAGGGAUGUCUCUUUACAAAUGCGGAAAGGUGUACGAGAGGAUUAUCGGAAGACCCUUCUUGUAAGCUUUGUGGGAAUGCCGAAAAAUCUUGUAUCUAUGUUAUAUGAGAUUGUCCUAAGGCAAAAGAAAUGUGGAUUCAGUUUAUUCCCUCGAGAAUCUCAGAUCGAUUUUUCACUUACUCUUUGGAGGAUGGGUUGUCUACUAACUUGGUAAAUAAGUUUGAGGUUAAUUUUCAGGAUGCACAUUGGCCAUCCUUGUUUGGGAUUGUUUGUUGGAAAAUUUGGAAACAGAGGAAUGUGUACAUGUUCCAAUAUGGCCAUUACAACAUAGUCAAUUUGAUACAUUUUUCAUGAUUGUGGGCUAGGUCAAGUAAGCAAAGACAGAUAAAUUCGAAGAGGAGUAAUGAGAACCGAAAAAGGAACCAAAGAUGGGCCCCUCCACCUGUCAGUUUCUUUAAAAUAAAUACUGGUGGUGCUCGUAAUCUGAAUUUGAGUUCUGCAUGGUCAGCAUUAGUGGCACGAUAUGAGCAUAAUAAUUAGAUGUGGAGAAUAGAAAGAAGUAUUAAGAGAUGCAGUGUUUGGGUCAUCUAUGAUGGCCUCUAAUUAGCCUGUGAAGCUAAAUGGGCUAAUAUUAUUAUUGAGAUUGAUAGUGCGCAAGCCAUUAAAGGGGUUCAUGAAGAAAUUCGAGGAUAUUCUAACAGAGAUCUAAUUGUGCGAAUCCAAGAACUAUGCCAGCGUGAUUGAAGAGUACUCUUUAAACAAGUACCAAGAGAAAUGAACUCGACUUCUAAUAUUUUAGCUAGAUUGAUGAAAGGUUAUCCUAUGAUCAAUUGCAAAUAGACAGAUGAGUUAUGCUACCUUAACAUAGAUACCAUUGUUAGCUUGUAAUUGAAGCUUUUAUAUCUUGUCAAAAAGAAAAAAGACACCCUAGGUUCCUUGUGGUCACCGGUGCGAUCAACUUUGUGUUGGCUGUUGCCUGUUUUCUUUAUUUGGCUCUCAGUUUAUCUUUUUAUUUAAUUCAAGCCUCUCUCUUUCUUCAGCCUUUGACCAGUGAUCUAAGAGGCUUUUCUCCAACCGCCUUGUGGGGGUUCCCUCCUCUUUUGCCCAUGGUGUCAGGCUUGGUACUCUUGGCUUCUCAUUGAGAACCCUGAUCCUUUGUUUGGAUAGUGUCAUUACCACUUUGGCCCCAUUUUUAAUUGGAGCUUGGCAUUCACCGCACCUGCCUAUUUGUCUAGUAACUAAGGUUGCUUUAAUGGUUGCAGGUUCUUCUUCAAUCGUAGGUUCCCAACUAGUUCAUCGAUGGUUGACAGUAUUCUUUUGGAUGGUUGUCGCAACAUGAUCUCUUAACAGAAGAGUUCAUGUCGUCAGCAGGUGCAUCCUCCUUCCCCUCCGGCACUCUUUGGCACUCUCUUUUCCGAUGACGACGAUAGUGUAUAGAGAUUAAGGUUGUGGUCUUGUUAGGGCUGGGCUUUUCAAGCUCAUAAUUUCUCUUGACUAAAAUAUAAUGAUUCUUUAACAUUCUUCUCUUUGUAAUAACUAAAUAAAAACCUUAAUGUUAAAUUCUGCUAUUAGCCCUUAUACUUUGUAAAAGUUAUGAAUUUAGUUCCUAUAAUUUGAUCAACUUUUUAAUCUC